GAUGAACGCUGGCGGCGUGCCUAAUACAUGCAAGUCGAGCGAACAGAUGAGGAGCUUGCUCCUCUGACGUUAGCGGCGGACGGGUGAGUAACACGUGGAUAACCUACCUAUAAGACUGGGAUAACUUCGGGAAACCGGAGCUAAUACCGGAUAAUAUAUUGAACCGCAUGGUUCAAUAGUGAAAGACGGUUUUGCUGUCACUUAUAGAUGGAUCCGCGCCGCAUUAGCUAGUUGGUAAGGUAACGGCUUACCAAGGCAACGAUGCGUAGCCGACCUGAGAGGGUGAUCGGCCACACUGGAACUGAGACACGGUCCAGACUCCUACGGGAGGCAGCAGUAGGGAAUCUUCCGCAAUGGGCGAAAGCCUGACGGAACAACGCCGCGUGAGUGAUGAAGGUCUUGGGAUCGUAAAACUCUGUUAUUAGGGAAGAACAAAUGUGUAAGGAACUAUGCACGUCUUGACGGUACCUAAUCAGAAAGCCACGGCUAACUACGUG
RNAcentral lists this ribosomal RNA (497 nucleotides) under uncultured bacterium. RNAcentral describes it as "partial 16S ribosomal RNA". It matches the Rfam family "Bacterial small subunit ribosomal RNA", at positions 28 to 507 of the family's 1533-position model. The record is from RNAcentral.